This 305-nucleotide ribosomal RNA is filed under the name uncultured bacterium. RNAcentral describes it as "bacterial SSU rRNA". It matches the Rfam family "Bacterial small subunit ribosomal RNA", at positions 333 to 652 of the family's 1533-position model. The record is from RNAcentral.
CAGCACCUACGGGGGGCAGCAGUGGGGUAUAUUGGACAAUGGGGGGAACCCUGAUCCAGCGACGCCGCGUGAGUGAAGAAGUAUUUCGGUAUGUAAAGCUCUGUCAGCAGGGAAGAAAGAAAUGACGGUACCUGACCAAGAAGCCCCGGCUAACUACGUGCCAGCAGCCGCGGUAAUACGUAGGGGGCAAGCGUUAUCCGGAAUUACUGGGUGUAAAGGGAGCGAAGACGGUUAAGUAAGUCUGGAGUGAAAGGCCGGGGCCCAAACCCGGGACUGCUGUGGAAACUAGUUAACUUGAGUGCAGG